UUUCUUCCCCAGGGGUCAGGAAUUUUUUGCCCUUCGAUUCAUAUGGUGGAUUUUGAUUUGUCCUAGAUCUCAUAUUGACAUGGCUUGAGUGCAAUGGCCGAUCUUGGCUUACUGCACCCUCUGCUUCCUGGGUUCAAGGUUCAAGCGAUUUUCCUGCAUCAGCCUCCUGAGUAGCUGGUAUUACAGGCAUGCACCACCAGGCCUGGGCCUGGCUAAUUUUGUAUUUCUAGUAGAGACAAGAUUUCUUCAUGGCGGUCAGGCUGGUCUCAAACUCCUGACCUCAGGUGAUCUGGCCCCCCAACCCCCGGCCUCUCAAAGUGUUGGGAUUACAGGUGUGAACCACCGCACCCCACAGAUUUCUUCUUCUUUAAGGAAGCCUCAGUUCUGUGUUAAAGACCUUUUGCUUGAUUGAGUUAGGCUCACCGGACAAUCUAAAGGAAUCUAACUCCUUGAUGUCAGAUGUAGAAAAUGUCAUAAUAGAAGCAAGAGAUUGUAGUGAUGGAACCAUGAACUAAGGAACGCCAAAACAUACCAGAAGUCUCAAAAAAUGUUAAAAGGCAAUCAACAGAUUCACUCCUGGAGCCUCCAGAAGAAAUCAGGACUCCUGACAUUUUAAUUUUAGCUCACUAGGACUCAUUUCAAACUCCUGGUUUCCAGUUAGAGAAAAUCCAAUUUUGUUAUCUAGAUCAUCAAGUUAAUGAUAAUUUGUAAUAGUUGUCAUAAAAAAUACAGCUAUAUCGUUUGUGUGCUUUUUCAUAGAUUACAUAUUUUAUUCUGAAUUUUAAUGAUUUGUAUGCUUUCUUAGAUGAGGAGAGAAAAGACAAACUUUCCAAUUGUCAUUUAAGAGUUGUGAAAAUCACUUUCUGA
Molecule: long non-coding RNA, 867 nt
Filed under: Homo sapiens (human)
Lineage: Eukaryota; Metazoa; Chordata; Mammalia; Primates; Hominidae
Description: HSALNT0085847
Source: RNAcentral